Molecule: ribosomal RNA, 253 nt
Filed under: uncultured bacterium
Lineage: Bacteria
Description: partial 16S ribosomal RNA
Rfam family: Bacterial small subunit ribosomal RNA
Source: RNAcentral
UACGUAGGGGGCAAGCGUUGUCCGGAAUCAUUGGGCGUAAAGAGCUCGUAGGCGGUCUGUCGCGUCUGCUGUGAAAACUCGGGGCUUAACCCCGGGCCUGCAGUGGGUACGGGCAGACUAGAGUGCGGUAGGGGAGACUGGAAUUCCUGGUGUAGCGGUGAAAUGCGCAGAUAUCAGGAGGAACACCGGUGGCGAAGGCGGGUCUCUGGGCCGAUACUGACGCUGAGGAGCGAAAGCGUGGGGAGCGAACAGG